GUCUUUCUCAACCUCUCUCACAUUUCUCUCAGCCUCUCCUUCAUUUCCUAACCCUAGCCGCACACAACACUCACUCACUACUCUCAUCUCAUCACAUCAUUCAUCUCCAUCUUCAUCACCUUUGGCAGACAAGGUCAUCACCUUUGGCCUCUUCGUCUCUCCAGUAGAUGAAGAAAUCAAAUGCUAUGGGGCCUUUACAUAUUUCUUGUGAUUGAGAAUGGAAAUGAAGACAUGCUGCUUAUUGUUUUUUCGUUUUUUGGUGUUUGAAAAUUCUAGUUUGAUUUGUAUUAAUUAGUUGGAUAUUGAAGUUUAUUUCUAUUUGUAUGCAAAUGUGGGAUUGUAUGUUGAACUUUGUUUUACUGGAAAUUUGGUUAACUUUCCAUGUUUGAUGUAUUGGAGAUUCGGAUUAUUUCAUGAAAA
Molecule: non-coding RNA, 420 nt
Organism: Prunus avium (sweet cherry)
Lineage: Eukaryota; Viridiplantae; Streptophyta; Magnoliopsida; Rosales; Rosaceae
Source: RefSeq, a predicted model, not a curated record